UCUAAAAAUAAAUAAUACUUCAAAGAAAUUUAACAAAAUAAAUCUGACGGUAUUAACCUUUACAAAGGAAUUUGUUUCAUAAUCGACAACACACGACUUACCUUACUUAAUACAUUUCUGUAUACCACCGUAUUUGAAAUUAUUCCAAAUAAAUCUCAAAAAAGAUUUUAUCUAAAAAAUCAGGUCAAGGUGCAAUUUUAUUAAGAAGAAAUGAAUUUCAAUAAUGAAUAUUAAACAUAAAGAACUGAAAAUUUUUUAAAAAAGAAUUUGUAAGUAAAAUCUUAUCAUCAUAACAAUUUGAAAAUUUACAUUAAUAUGU
This 319-nucleotide ribosomal RNA is filed under the name Peripatidae gen. sp. DNA103556. RNAcentral describes it as "partial 12S ribosomal RNA". The record is from RNAcentral. Lineage: Eukaryota; Metazoa; Onychophora; Udeonychophora; Euonychophora; Peripatidae.